Long non-coding RNA from Solanum pennellii, 2361 nucleotides. RefSeq lists it as uncharacterized. The record is from RefSeq and is a predicted model, not a curated record. Lineage: Eukaryota; Viridiplantae; Streptophyta; Magnoliopsida; Solanales; Solanaceae. The transcript has 3 exons.
CAAUAUAUUAUGGAAUAAAGCUUUCCCUUUUCUAAGUUCUUUCUCUCUUUCUUUAUUUUAUUCUUUUUAUAUUUCCCGCAUCAAGGAUCCUUUUCAAAUGGUAUCAGAGCCAGGUUGCUGUUAAGCCCCUUUUGCGUAAAGGCUUAAAUAUUCCUAUUUGUUUAGUGCUUAGAGAUGCUAGACUUCUCAAUGUUGAUGAUUCGUUAUUAGGAAUCUUAGAAAGUAAUCUAGCUCAGGGGCCAGUUUACUUCAAUUGUUAUCCUAAUUUCUAUGUAGAGAUAGAAGACCCUAAUAUUCUUGAUACCUUGACACUUAAUGUCAAAACCAAGAAUAUGAAUAGCAAAUAAGGAACCAGAGAUUUAGCUGUAAUAUAUCGGGUAUAUUACAAGCUAAUGAAAACAACUAUUGCCCCAAAGGCAAUUAACUCUAGUCCGAAAAGGUAUUACUAUGCUUAUGGAAUCAUACCAAGAGCAUAGCACUACUUUUUGUGCCAAGAAUGUUAAAGUGGAAUGAGAUUCUUUCCGAUGAAAGUUGGAAAUUUGAAUCUAUCAUCGAACCCCUUCCAGUUCAGCCUUCGAGGUCUUCCUUAGAAAGUAUUCUUCAAUUUGCAGAUGGAUCUGUUAACCUUAAAUUUCUUAGAUCCAACUCUUUUGACCAUGAGUCUUCCAGUUGAAGAAUGUCUAUGGCUAGACCUUCUACUUCAAAGACCCGGGAGGGAGAGGAUGAUUUUUAUGGAACCACUGAGGUUUCAGAACAAUAGGGUAAGUUCCGCGGGGUAGAUUUCACCCAAACCAUCCACAAAGUUUAUUAUGAUUCUUCUUUUGCAAGAAGUCCUACUCCUAGCGAAAUGAAAGCUUCUUCUCAUACGAAAAAGGAUUCUAUAGGAGUUAUUAAGUCAGUCGACAAAGUUAAUCCUGACACAAAAAAGAUUAAUAAGUGGUGGAUGAGACCUAAGCAUGCUUUAAAGAAAGCUUGGUAUGUUGAUACAUACACAAGGGAUCAGAGAGUCUUGUUCAAAGACAAAUGUUUUAAGGAUAUGAAGAGAUUCAAAACUGAAAUUUAAUUCUUCAAAUGGGUUGAAUCUACAGGCCAAAUCGGAGAAUCUAAUUCAUCUCUUCAGGUUUUGGUUAACAGAUGGCAUACCAAAGACAAGGUAGUCGAAAGUGUUACUCCUCCUCUUGAAGGUAUACACAUCCCUUAUAGAAAAGAUGUUUUGAAAGCAACACCUUUCAAAAAACCUUCAGAACAUAAAGAAAACAACUUAGUGACUAUUGAAGAAAUAAACGUCUUUGAAAAAAAUAAUUAUACUAACCAGGUCCUUCAUGUUGUCUCGAAACAAAUUGAGGACUUAAAGUAUAAUUAUAGUGGUACCAGCCAGAUUGGUAACAAACCCAGUUCCUCCAAAUAAGGUUUUUCAUCUUAGAAACUAAUCCUAUCUUCAAAAUCCAUAAAUUUCCCCAGAGGAUUUCCCUAAGCUAGCUAAUGACUUCAACAACUCUCCAGAAAUCCUUGAAAGGAUUAGUGAGCAACUUAAAAGGAUUAAGAUUUCUCAGGGUGAUAAGGUUGGAGCUAUAAAAGACAGACUUCCUCACUACAAAAACUUUUAUCCCCGACCUUCUUUUCCUGAUAUCUAGUUCAAAGAAAACAAUAUGCACCCCAGAGUGUUGCAGAUGGUACAGCAAUAACAGAAUGGAAUAUAGAUGGUAUGGCUGAUAGUCAAAUCUAUAACAAACUCCAAGAGAUGGGCAUGAACAUCACAACCUAUAAAUGGAAGAGUGCCACCGAUAAGCAUGCAGCUAAUAGGAUAGUUGCAGGUUUUACAGGGACGCACAGAAUCGGUGGGACAACUAUCUCAAAGAACUAAAUAAAAAUGAGAUGCUUGAUGCUGUUGCAAGCAAGAAUGUUGUUAAGACUGAAGGAGGUCAAACUACUACUUCUUUAUAGGCUAGCAAGAACUAGGUUUUGGGGGCUGGAAAAGGGUGGAUUCUUCAUCAAAUUGUUGAGAAACAUUAAGGAUUCGGUCGUUGAAGAGUUUUGAAGGCAAUAUUGUUGAAUGCUUGGAUUCUUCAUUUCAUCAAAGUAGGGUAGGUCCUCAACUUUUGAGGGCAACGCCAUCUUCUAGCUUUGGAUUCUGUUAUGAGUUUAUUGACUCUAUCAUUUAUUUCCUUGUUAUUUGAAUAUCGUACUUUCGUAUGACCUAUACAUGGUCUUGUUGAAUUGAUGUAAGGGAUACGCCAAUAUUGCGACAUUCGUUUAGAUUGUAUGAGAACGGACAAUCGUUGAGACUAUUUCUAUAUCUUUAUAUAUAUGUUCAAUAAAAGUAGAAGGCUAUGUAACCUUCAUAUAUAAAUUGUCUACGUA